Monodelphis domestica (gray short-tailed opossum) is the source of this 593-nucleotide long non-coding RNA. RefSeq lists it as uncharacterized. The record is from RefSeq and is a predicted model, not a curated record. NCBI's taxonomy places the organism in Eukaryota, Metazoa, Chordata, Mammalia, Didelphimorphia, Didelphidae.
GGUGCUUUUAUUAUCUUUAUUUUACUGUUGAAGAAACUGAUGCAAAGAGAAGCUAAGCAACUUGCCCAGGGUCACAUAGUCAGGAAGUAUCUGAGGUCAAAUUUGAAUUCAAAUCUUCCUACUAAGGGUCUGAGGUUGAAUUUGAACUCAGGGCUCCCUGACUCCAGGGCUACUGUUCUGUCUUCCCAAUCAUGUACUCUUCCCACUAGCCUAUGUUGCCUCCUCUUCUUCUAGGUAAGACAGACAGAAAAAUAAAUGUCUAUCCAUGAGGAACAGAAGAGAAGCUGUGAAGUACACAGGAAAAUUACAAGGUAGAAUAAGUAGAGGUAAUCUUCUCUUCUUCCUGACUGCCACCUUGGAGAAUCCUUCAUUGCCUUCAUGAAGAAUAACCACAAAGACUAAGACCUUGUCAAUGAAGUCUUUCCUGAUGCCUCUUUUUCCCACAGAGCAUCAGAAUUAAACAAUGAGUUUGAAAAGGCCUUGAAAAAAAGAAGGGUGUUAUCAAAAUAGAAGGGAUAUUUUAAAAAACUUAACCAGUAACCAAGACACAAUAUAAUGCAUGCUAUUAAAAAGAAUAAAUUAUUUUCUCUGCA